Molecule: ribosomal RNA, 253 nt
Filed under: uncultured bacterium
Lineage: Bacteria
Description: partial 16S ribosomal RNA
Rfam family: Bacterial small subunit ribosomal RNA
Source: RNAcentral
UACAGAGGGUGCAAGCGUUGUCCGGAAUUACUGGGCGUAAAGGGCGCGUAGGCGGCUUGAUAAGUAGGAGGUGAAAUUCCAUGGCUCAACCAUGGAUCGGCCUUCUAGACUGUCAGGCUUGAGCACGGUAGAGGCAGAUGGAAUUCCCGGUGUAGCGGUGGAAUGCGUAGAGAUCGGGAAGAACACCAGUGGCGAAGGCGGUCUGCUGGGCCGUUGCUGACGCUGAGGCGCGACAGCGUGGGGAGCAAACAGG